RNAcentral lists this ribosomal RNA (977 nucleotides) under Stenotrophomonas maltophilia. RNAcentral's name for it is "bacterial SSU rRNA". It matches the Rfam family "Bacterial small subunit ribosomal RNA", at positions 1 to 914 of the family's 1533-position model. The record is from RNAcentral. Lineage: Bacteria; Pseudomonadati; Pseudomonadota; Gammaproteobacteria; Lysobacterales; Lysobacteraceae.
AGAGUUUGAUCAUGGCUCAGAGUUUGAUCAUGGCUCAGAGUUUGAUCAUGGCUCAGAGUUUGAUCAUGGCUCAGAGUUUGAUCAUGGCUCAGAGUUUGAUCAUGGCUCAGAUUGAACGGCAGCACAGUAAGAGCUUGCUCUUACGGGUGGCGAGUGGCGGACGGGUGAGGAAUACAUCGCAAUCUACUUUUUCGUGGGGGAUAACGUAGGGAAACUUACGCUAAUACCGCAUACGACCUACGGGUGAAAGCAGGGGAUCUUCGGACCUUGCGCGAUUGAAUGAGCCGAUGUCGGAUUAGCUAGUUGGCGGGGUAAAGGCCCACCAAGGCGACGAUCCGUAGCUCCUCUGAGAGGAUGAUCAGCCACACUGGAACUGAGAGACGGUCCACCCUCCUAGCGUAGGCUUCAGUGGGGUAUAAAGGACUUUGGGCGCAAGCCUGAUCGAGGGAUACCCCGCGCGUGAAGAAUGCCUUCGGGUUGUAAAGCCCAAUUGUUGGGAUAGAAAUCCAGCCGGCACUUACCUGGUUGGAUGACGGUACCCCAAAGAAUAAGCNCCGGCUAACUUCGUGCCAGCAGCCGCGGUAAUACGAAGGGUGCAAGCGUUACUCGGAAUUACUGGGCNUAAAGCGUGCGUAGGUGGUCGUUUAAGUCUGUUGUGAAAGCCCUGGGCUCAACCUGGGAACUGCAGUGGAAACUGGACGACUAGAGUGUGGUAGAGGGUAGCGGAAUUCCUGGUGUAGCAGUGAAAUGCGUAGAGAUCAGGAGGAACAUCCAUGGCGAAGGCAGCUACCUGGACCAACACUGACACUGAGGCACGAAAGCGUGGGGAGCAAACAGGAUUAGAUACCCUGGUAGUCCACGCCCUAAACGAUGCGAACUGGAUGUUGGGUGCAAUUUGGCACGCAGUAUCGAAGCUAACGCGUUAAGUUCGCCGCCUGGGGAGUACGGUCGCAAGACUGAAACUCAAAGGAAUUGAC